UAUGCUUUUAUUGUAAUUUUUUGUAGUUUUAAAUGUAUAAUUUCAUAAAUUUUGAACAAAAAUGUGCACUGUAUGGAAUAUUUCAUUUUUGUAUAAACUCAUAUGAACUGUGCACUUUUAUUUAUCUUCAUUUUGACAUUAUCAUGCUUUUUUAUCAAUUAUUUUUUGUCUUUCAACAAAACUGUUGGAUUUUUAAAUUAAAAGGAUUCAAGGAUCUUUUUAUAUUUGAAAUUUCAUGUUAUAAUGUUGACUGGAUUCUUAAGUUGAGAUCCAGUUUAAUAUAUAUGUAUAUUUUUAGUAGAUACAAAAAUUGAACACUUUGGAAAUAUGAAAAAAUUAAAAAAAUAUGAUGAUUAUAUAUCACUGCCACAUUGGAUAGCCAACCUAAAGGCCCUGCUUAAUUUCAGUCAUCCAUGUCAAGGAGUAACAACCAUCUCAAAUAUAUAAUUCUUCAGAAUGGCUAUCUCAUUCUCUAUGAAGUAUUCAAGAGAAGCCAAGUCCUUUUUUGAAUAUAAUGCAGAGUGUAUCUUGUUGAGGACAGAUAUCUGUCUAUCAGAACAAUAUUUCAUUGCCUCUGAUAUGAUCAUGCAUCCAUAUCAUCACCCAAUGCUAUUCUCUCCAUCCUUAUGAAUAUUGCUUCUAUAAGAUCCUUCACAUUAUCAACAGAUGAUGGAUACAUCUUCCAUCCCUUGAAUACAUCUGGAUUGAUGUCAUAUAUGUCUUGAUGUAGCUUCCUAUGUCUCUUCCAUCAUUAUGUAAGUCAUACUUUGAUACUGUUUUCCUCCAUAUACUAAGGAUAUUAUUACCAUCAAGCUUAUGUGUUGGGAUUGGAUCUAGGACAAUAAUCCUAAGCUUAGAUAGUUCCAAUGGAGAGGCAUAGCAUGUAUCUUAUAUCUUGUAUUCUGAGAGGAUAUCAAAGAAGCUGAUUUGUGAAGAAAGGUUAUACGAGGGAGCAUUAUGUGAGAGUUUCAGCCUUUGGACCAAAGACAUGCUGAUUAUAUAAUGGAUGUGUGUGUUAAUGGGAGUGUGCAAUAGGUUUUAGAUAUGGGGAGUUUAGAUGGAUGAAGUUAGUCAGGGCUUUAGAAUGGGUAAGGAGAAUAGGCAGGGCUGUGGAUAGUUCAGAUGGGCAGGAGUGAUGACUAGGCUUUUAUAACAAUCAGAGUUUUUUGAUAGUAGGGGGUUUGGCUGUGAUUAAGUUAGGCUAAGCCUGUGGUCAGAUCAAGCUUUUUUUUAUAGGUAGGACUCUGGGGAGUUAAGAUGGCAAGGCUUCUGAGCAGAGUUUUAUGAUAAUCAGUGCAUUAGAUUAGGUAGGAAGCUAGAUAAGUAGAUUAGGGCUUUAGAUUAGACUAAGUGAUAAAUUAGGAAGACUUUUAUGCAAGGCAGGGUUUUAGAAUGGAAGAAAUGUGCAGGGAGAGUGGACAAGGUUUUUUGUAGGGACUAUGGAUGGCUAGGGUUUUAUAUGAUAUAAUCAGGGCUUUAUCAAGGGCUAUGAACAGGUUGGAUGGCUAGGUAGAAUGAGUAUGGAGUUAGGACCGAAUUUUCAUUCAGAGGGAUGAUGGGAAGGGCAGUGAUUGGGGUGUGGGGGAGAAUGAAGUAGUUAGAAUGGGAUUUUGGUGGACAGAGAUGAUGAUCAGGGAUUUAUCAAGGGGAUGAUGGGUAAGGUUUUAGGUUAAGCAGGCUUUUCU
This 1685-nucleotide long non-coding RNA is filed under the name Androctonus crassicauda. Lineage: Eukaryota; Metazoa; Arthropoda; Arachnida; Scorpiones; Buthidae. The record is from RNAcentral.